UGAUGCACAGGAACAGUCCGUGUGUUGGAGGUGGGUCUGCCUGCGGUCAUUCUGGAACAUUCUUCCUCCUGCCCUGUGUCUGGGCAGAAGGAGGACUCCUGAAGCCUCCGAAGGAAGGAAAUCAUUACAGGGCCCUACAGAAGUAGGUCAUGUGCUACAGCUGCUCAUAGUUUACGAGGAAGAAACAUGGGACCUCAAACCUGGAACACGACUCUUUCAAAAUGCUUGUGAGCAGCCCAAGAAAAACAUCCUCCCGAGGCUUAUCUAAUAACCAUGAUCUGUAAUCGUCUCAAUGUGUGCUCGUGUUUCCUUAGGAGUUUGCACCUACUUCCCAGAGCUAGCGAGAUGCUGAAACAGAACACAGAAAAAUGUAAUGAAGGGGAUUUAAUAGUUUGUGUUAAAGCUAAUAUGGGCCAUUAGAAGCUGUCAUUUUUAUAAACAAUGAAGAUAUGUUACCCUCUUCUUUGGUGUAAAGUUAUUCCAUGCAGGACCUGUAAACAUUCAGUAAUGAUCUGUAGAACACGCAUGAAUGACAAUUAAAGCACUGCUUGAAAGUC
Long non-coding RNA from Galeopterus variegatus (Sunda flying lemur), 557 nucleotides. RefSeq lists it as uncharacterized. Lineage: Eukaryota; Metazoa; Chordata; Mammalia; Dermoptera; Cynocephalidae. The record is from RefSeq and is a predicted model, not a curated record. The transcript has 2 exons.